Molecule: transfer RNA, 63 nt
Filed under: Anaulaciulus koreanus
Lineage: Eukaryota; Metazoa; Arthropoda; Diplopoda; Julida; Julidae
Description: tRNA-Ala
Source: RNAcentral
AGGAUUAUAAUUAAAUUUAUAAUAAUUAAUUUGCAUUUAAUAAUUGCUAUAUAGCUAAUUCUA